Molecule: ribosomal RNA, 1491 nt
Filed under: metagenome
Description: bacterial SSU rRNA
Rfam family: Bacterial small subunit ribosomal RNA
Source: RNAcentral
AGAGUUUGAUCCUGGCUCAGAUUGAACGCUGGCGGCAUGCCUUACACAUGCAAGUCGAACGGCAGCACGAGAGCUUGCUCUUGGUGGCGAGUGGCGAACGGGUGAGUAAUAUAUCGGAACGUACCCUAGAGUGGGGGAUAACGUAGCGAAAGUUACGCUAAUACCGCAUACGAUCUACGGAUGAAAGUGGGGGAUCGCAAGACCUCAUGCUCAUGGAGCGGCCGAUAUCUGAUUAGCUAGUUGGUGGGGUAAAAGCUCACCAAGGCGACGAUCAGUAGCUGGUCUGAGAGGACGACCAGCCACACUGGAACUGAGACACGGUCCAGACUCCUACGGGAGGCAGCAGUGGGGAAUUUUGGACAAUGGGCGCAAGCCUGAUCCAGCAAUGCCGCGUGAGUGAAGAAGGCCUUCGGGUUGUAAAGCUCUUUUGUCAGGGAAGAAACGGUGGACUCUAAUACAGAUCACUAAUGACGGUACCUGAAGAAUAAGCACCGGCUAACUACGUGCCAGCAGCCGCGGUAAUACGUAGGGUGCAAGCGUUAAUCGGAAUUACUGGGCGUAAAGCGUGCGCAGGCGGUUGUGCAAGACAGAUGUGAAAUCCCCGGGCUCAACCUGGGAAUUGCAUUUGUGACUGCACGGCUAGAGUGUGUCAGAGGGGGGUAGAAUUCCACGUGUAGCAGUGAAAUGCGUAGAGAUGUGGAGGAAUACCGAUGGCGAGGGCAGCCCCCUGGGAUAACACUGACGCUCAUGCACGAAAGCGUAGGGAGCAAACAGGAUUAGAUACCCUGGUAGUCCACGCCCUAAACGAUGUCUACUAGUUGUCGGGUCUUAAUUGACUUGGUAACGCAGCUAACGCGUGAAGUAGACCGCCUGGGGAGUACGGUCGCAAGAUUAAAACUCAAAGGAAUUGACGGGGACCCGCACAAGCGGUGGAUGAUGUGGAUUAAUUCGAUGCAACGCGAAAAACCUUACCUACCCUUGACAUGUCUGGAAUCCUUGAGAGAUCAGGGAGUGCUCGAAAGAGAAUCAGAACACAGGUGCUGCAUGGCUGUCGUCAGCUCGUGUCGUGAGAUGUUGGGUUAAGUCCCGCAACGAGCGCAACCCUUGUCAUUAGUUGCUACGAAAGGGCACUCUAAUGAGACUGCCGGUGACAAACCGGAGGAAGGUGGGGGUGACGUCAAGUCCUCAUGGCCCUUAUGGGUAGGGCUUCACACGUCAUACAAUGGUACAUACAGAGGGCCGCCAACCCGCGAGGGGGAGCUAAUCCCAGAAAGUGUAUCGUAGUCCGGAUUGUAGUCUGCAACUCGACUACAUGAAGUUGGAAUCGCUAGUAAUCGCGGAUCAGCAUGUCGCGGUGAAUACGUUCCCGGGUCUUGUACACACCGCCCGUCACACCAUGGGAGCGGGUUUCACCAGAAGUGGGUAGCCUAACCGCAAGGAGGGCGCUCACCACGGUGGGAUUCGUGACUGGGGUGAAGUCGUAACAAGGUA